GAUGAACGCUGGCGGCGUGCCUAAUACAUGCAAGUCGAGCGAACAGACGAGGCGCUUGCUCCUCUGACGUUAGCGGCGGACGGGUGAGUAACACGUGGAUAACCUACCUAUAAGACUGGGAUAACUUCGGGACACCGGAGCUAAUACCGGAUAAUAUCUUGAACCGCAUGGUUCAAUAGUGAAAGACGGUUUUGCUGUCACUUAUAGAUGGAUCCGCGCGGCAUUAGCUAGUUGGUAAGGUAACGGCUUACCAAGGCAACGAUGCGUAGCCGACCUGAGAGGGUGAUCGGCCACACUGGAACUGAGACACGGUCCAGACUCCUACGGGAGGCAGCAGUAGGGAAUCUUCCGCAAUGGGCGAAAGCAUGACGGAGCAACGCCGCGUGAGUGAUGAAGGUCUUCGGAUCGUAAAACUCUGUUAUGAGGGAAGAACAAAUGUGUAAGUAACUAUGCACGGCUUGACGGUACCUAAUCAGAAAGCAACGGCUAACUACGUG
RNAcentral lists this ribosomal RNA (497 nucleotides) under uncultured bacterium. RNAcentral describes it as "partial 16S ribosomal RNA". It matches the Rfam family "Bacterial small subunit ribosomal RNA", at positions 28 to 507 of the family's 1533-position model. The record is from RNAcentral.